Molecule: long non-coding RNA, 1221 nt
Filed under: Ananas comosus (pineapple)
Lineage: Eukaryota; Viridiplantae; Streptophyta; Magnoliopsida; Poales; Bromeliaceae
Description: long non-coding RNA (ACOM_LNC006406)
Source: RNAcentral
UAUAAUGAAUAAAUAAAAAAUAAAUUUAUAAGAGAAAUAAAAAUAUAGUAAUAUAAAUAUUUUAUAAUUAUUGAGAAUAGAACAGUCAACAAUGACACUGUAUGCUAUUUUUGUUGACAAUGUAUGAAGAGCUGCAGAAGGAGGCCGAAGGAUUCCGAGCAGCCAGCGAGAGAAAAAAAAAAGGAAGAAAAAAAAAAAUCAUGAAUGAAAAGAUUCAAAACAGCUAAGUAGAUGAGGUGAGGGGAGAGGGAGAGCCACCGCUAUCAAUUUGGAAUAUAAAGAAAAAUAAGAAAUGGAAGGAAGAGAGAGAGAGAGAGAGAGAGAGAGAGAGAAUUGAAGGAUGUGAAUUUUUUAAAAAAUGAGAAUUUUACUAAAAUAAAAAAAUAAAAAAAAAUUUAAAAUAAAUAGUAAAUUCUACCCUCCUUUAAUAAAGGUGAUACAUUCACGUUAGAUUAGACAAUAAAAAAUUAUGUAUAAACAUAUGAAUAAGACGGCACGGAUUUAUUAAACUUGCCGAUUUUAUUUUUAGACUUUGAACACUUUCAAACAAGUUAAUAUAAAUAUCUAUGUAUAAAAUAUUUUGUUUCUUAAUCACAAAAAAUCUAAAAAAAACCUUGAGAAAGCAAUCAUUUCGGCCACUCCUCGUCUGAAAAAUAUCGCGAAGAGAGGUUGGUCUGGUGAUACGACAUGUAUGCUAUGCAUGUCACACGAUGAGACCGUGAACCAUCUACUCGCACAAUGUGUCUUCACUAAGUUUAUCUUGGUAAUGGGUGUGGAGAAUAUUCAAGCUACGGAGAUGGGAGACGAUGUUAUUCAUAUCUGGGAUAGGUGGAGGGUGAAGAAAAGAUGGCAAGAUACGAGGCAUAGCCUCCCUGAAUUGGCUGCGUGUUGGUGGACUGUGUGGAAGGCUAGGAACGAUAUGAUCUUUCGAAACAUCCAACUAGAUCCCCUCGUGGCGGUGUACAGAUUUAAGGAGCUGCUGAAAUCUUGGGAGCUGUGUGCAUAAACUACUAGACGUCCUACCAUAGCGGUUUUUUUAUUUUUAUUUUUAUUUUAUUAUUAUUAUUAUUAUUAUUAUUAGUAUUAUUUUUAUUUUUAUUUUUAUUUUAUUUUCGCGCCCCUCCUUCGAGGCCCUGGCUGCCUCAUCCAUGUAGCCUAAUUCAUAUUUUCAAUGAAUGAAGCAGGUAGCGUGCUACCUUUUCUCAAAAAAAACUUCAUUCU